UACAGGGGGGGCAAGCGUUGUUCGGAAUUACUGGGCGUAAAGGGUUCGUAGGCGGCCAACUAAGUCACACGUGAAAUCCCCAGGCUUAACCUGGGAACUGCGUCUGAUACUGGAUGGCUUGAAUCCGGGAGAGGGAUGCAGAAUUCCAGGUGUAGCGGUGAAAUGCGUAGAUAUCUGGAGGAAUACCGGUGGCGAAGGCGGCAUCCUGGACCGGGAUUGACACUGAGGAGCGAAAGCUAGGGGAGCAAACGGG
Molecule: ribosomal RNA, 253 nt
Filed under: uncultured bacterium
Lineage: Bacteria
Description: partial 16S ribosomal RNA
Rfam family: Bacterial small subunit ribosomal RNA
Source: RNAcentral